AACGCGAAGAACCUUACCUACACUUGACAUCCCUUGCAUUACUCUUAAUCGAGGAAAUCCCUUCGGGGACAAGGUGACAGGUGGUGCAUGGUUGUCGUCAGCUCGUGUCGUGAGAUGUUGGGUUAAGUCCCGCAACGAGCGCAACCCUUGUCGUUAGUUACUACCAUUAAGUUGAGGACUCUAGCGAGACUGCCUGGGUUAACCAGGAGGAAGGUGGGGAUGACGUCAAAUCAUCAUGCCCCUUAUGUGUAGGGCUACACACGUGCUACAAUGGCUGGUACAGAGAGAUGCAAUACCGCGAGGUGGAGCCAAACUUAAAAACCAGUCUCAGUUCGGAUUGUAGGCUGAAACUC
Molecule: ribosomal RNA, 353 nt
Filed under: bacterium enrichment culture DGGE gel band G14
Lineage: Bacteria
Description: bacterial SSU rRNA
Rfam family: Bacterial small subunit ribosomal RNA
Source: RNAcentral